CGAAGUUAAGGGCAAACUACCCGAAAGGGUGGGACGCAAAGCUACGGGUCUACAGCUCACAAAAGCCAUGACCGCCGGGUUGCCGUG
Molecule: non-coding RNA, 87 nt
Filed under: Clostridiales bacterium PH28_bin88
Lineage: Bacteria; Bacillati; Bacillota; Clostridia; Eubacteriales
Also listed under: 1 other name
Description: c-di-GMP-I riboswitch aptamer
Rfam family: c-di-GMP-I riboswitch aptamer
About the family: GEMM was predicted in a large-scale screen for bacterial structured RNA regulatory elements. Genes associated with GEMM are involved in a diverse array of functions, including chemotaxis regulation, signal transduction, secretion and chitin.
Source: Rfam by way of RNAcentral